Molecule: ribosomal RNA, 520 nt
Filed under: uncultured bacterium
Lineage: Bacteria
Description: bacterial SSU rRNA
Rfam family: Bacterial small subunit ribosomal RNA
Source: RNAcentral
CCGAUGACAGGUCUAGAGAUAGAUUUUCCCUUUUAGGGCAUCGGAUACAGGUGGUGCAUGGUUGUCGUCAGCUCGUGUCGUGAGAUGUUGGGUUAACGUCCGCAACGAGCGCAACCCCUAUUGUUAGUUGCCAUCAUUAAGUUGGGCACUCUAGCGAGACUGCCAGUAAUAAACUGGAGGAAGGUGGGGAUGACGUCAAAUAAUCACGCCCCUUAUGACCUGGGCUACACACGUGCUACAAUGGGAAGUACAACGAGUUGCGAGGCGGUGACGCCAAGCUAAUCUCUUAAAGCUUCUCUCAGUUCGGAUUGUAGGCUGCAACUCGCCUACAUGAAGUCGGAAUCGCUAGUAAUCGCGGAUCAGCACGCCGCGGUGAAUACGUUCCCGGGCCUUGUACACACCGCCCGUCACACCACGAGAGUUUGUAACACCCGAAGUCGGUGAGGUAACCGUAAGGAGCCAACCGCCUAAGGUGGGAUAGAUGAUUGGGGUGAAGUCGUAACAAGGUAGGCGUAGAUGA